CCCCGCGGCAGCCCCAGCCGCCCCAGCACCGCCGAGCCGGCCGCCGGCCAUAGCAGUGGUGGCAAGGACGCCCGCCCGCCCCGCGGCCUGGGAGACACCUCAGGUCUGGCGGUCCAUCAGAUAAUCACUAUUACAGUGUCCCUCAUCAUGGUCAUAGCUGCUCUGAUAACAACUCUUGUCUUAAAAAACUGCUGCGCGCAGAGCGGGACCACGCGGCGCAACAGCCACCAACGCAAAAUCAAUCAGCAGGAGGAGAGCUGCCAGAACCUGACCGACUUCACCCCCGCCCGCGUGCCCAGCAGCCUGGACAUAUUCACAGCCUACAACGAAACGCUGCAGUGCUCCCACGAGUGUGUCAGGACGCCGGUGCCCGUGUACACGGAGGAGGCAUUACACUCACCCGGAGAUUACAAAGCGACGUACAAUGGAAACAGGUGAGGCGAUGCCCGUCGUGUUCCCGUGUACCUCCGGCACUGGGGUCCCUGUGCUCGGGUGGGGAAGGCUGCCCCGGUCCUGUUCAGCUCCUGCUCCCCUGCACGAGGACAAGCAGGCGUCUCCUGCCGUGCCCCGUCCUUGUGGUGUCAGCUGCCCUCACCCUGAGCACCUCUCAUCCAGCCCUGACAGCAUUCAGCACCGCACGUUUUUCAGUUCCCUGCCUCCGCCUCCGGCAAGUAAAUGUUCCUCAGAUCCAUCUCGCGGAAUUUGUGCUGUCUUCUAAGUGGCACCUAAAGAGCUGCUCGGUUGUGAAUGAGCGGUGUGAUUAAUGAAGGAGCAGGCUGCGAGAACCAAAUGAACCAUUUGUCUGGCACGAAAUAAUGAUACGUUAACAAGGGGGCAUAAUGGGAGCUGACAGCGAGGUGCGAGACCGGCGAGCCGUGGCUCUGCGUGCCCCUUGCUGCAGGAGGGAGGACCGGGGGGACCCUUCCCUGUGGCUGGGCUCGCUCCGCUGCAGCAGUGCCCUUGGCUGCUCCGCGUGGUGCCCGCGUGUCUGCUGGCAAACCCAGAGAGAACCGGGAGAGCCUUGCAAGGAGGAGAUGAGCAACCGGUGCUUUGGCCCCACAGCCUGCGUGCGCUGUGGCUGGGCUGCUGCCCACAGCCGGGGUCCCGCUGCAUGAGGGACACAAGCCUGGAAGGCAGCAACUUACCAGGCACCCUUCUGACCAUCGUCUGCGUGGACGUGGGGUUUGCUCCUCUGCGUAUUGGUGGUGUCUCCUCUGAUGUUGGAAGGCAAAGAAUGUGCCUGAUUUUCAAACCAUUUCGUUGAACCUGUGUGUGUGUGAAUGGGUGGUGGGGUCACGGUGCUCUGCUUCCCCCCCCAUCUGCGUGGUGCUGGGGAGGGUUCGUUACUUAUCUGCCUCAAGGUGAUGCUUUCUGGGUGGUUUUAUUGGCCUGGGCGCGCUCCCCGCAGCCCCAUGGAGGUGAUGCACGGCACCGCCCGUGGCGCAGGCAUCGCUGCCACCUGGGGGAA
RNAcentral lists this long non-coding RNA (1468 nucleotides) under Anser cygnoides (Swan goose). Its description in RNAcentral is "lncRNA (ENSACDG00005013196.1)". The record is from RNAcentral. Lineage: Eukaryota; Metazoa; Chordata; Aves; Anseriformes; Anatidae.